This 492-nucleotide ribosomal RNA is filed under the name Bacillus anthracis (anthrax bacterium). RNAcentral's name for it is "bacterial SSU rRNA". It matches the Rfam family "Bacterial small subunit ribosomal RNA", at positions 367 to 852 of the family's 1533-position model. Lineage: Bacteria; Bacillati; Bacillota; Bacilli; Caryophanales; Bacillaceae. The record is from RNAcentral.
CCCCAUGGACGAAAGUCUGACGGAGCACGCCGCGUGAGUGAUGAAGGCUUUCGGGUCGUAAAACUCUGUUGUUAGGGAAGAACAAGUGCUAGUUGAAUAAGCUGGCACCUUGACGGUACCUAACCAGAAAGCCACGGCUAACUACGUGCCAGCAGCCGCGGUAAUACGUAGGUGGCAAGCGUUAUCCGGAAUUAUUGGGCGUAAAGCGCGCGCAGGUGGUUUCUUAAGUCUGAUGUGAAAGCCCACGGCUCAACCAUGGAGGGUCAUUGGACUGGGAGACUUGAGUGCAGAAGAGGAAAGUGGAAUUCCAUGUGUAGCGGUGAAAUGCGUAGAGAUAUGGAGGAACACCAGUGGCGAAGGCGACUUUCUGGUCUGUAACUGACACUGAGGCGCGAAAGCGUGGGGAGCAAACAGGAUUAGAUACCCUGGUAGUCCACGCCGUAAACGAUGAGUGCUAAGUGUUAGAGGGUUUCCGCCCUUUAGUGCUAAAAG